RNAcentral lists this ribosomal RNA (253 nucleotides) under uncultured bacterium. RNAcentral's name for it is "partial 16S ribosomal RNA". It matches the Rfam family "Bacterial small subunit ribosomal RNA", at positions 524 to 776 of the family's 1533-position model. The record is from RNAcentral.
UACGUAGGGCGCAAGCGUUAUCCGGAAUUAUUGGGCGUAAAGAGCUCGUAGGCGGUCUGUCGCGUCGAAUGUGAAAAUCCGAGGCUCAACCUCGGACCUGCAUUCGAUACGGGCAGACUAGAGUUCGGUAGGGGAGUCUGGAAUUCCUGGUGUAGCGGUGAAAUGCGCAGAUAUCAGGAGGAACACCGGUGGCGAAGGCGGGACUCUGGGCCGAUACUGACGCUGAGGAGCGAAAGCGUGGGGAGCAAACAGG